AUGCAUCCCAAACCCAAAGCACUAGCUACAUAUCCUACUCAAGCACACGCUCACGAUGGCAUCCAGAGCUGCUACCUUCGUCGCCCUGAGCCUCCUCUCCGCGGUCGCCACGCACGGUGCGGACCCUACUGCCAGCCGCCAGUCGUCGUGCCGACGCCGCCCGUUGUCGUUCCGACGCCAUACCAUGGAGGAGGAGCGCACGGCCACGGCGGGCAGUGCUCCAUCGACGCGCUAAAGCUGAGGGCGUGCGCCAACGUUCUCGGCGGCCUGCUCGGCCUCAAGGUUGGCGUGCCGGCGCGCGACGAGUGCUGCCCGCUGCUCCACGGGUUGGUCGACCUUGACGCCGCCGUCUGCCUCUGCACCGCCGUCAGGGCCAACGUCCUCGGCAUCCACCUCGACGUGCCCGUGGACAUCAGCCUCCUCCUCAACCACUGCGGCAAGACGUGCCCGUCCGAGUUCACUUGCCCAGCCCAUUAA
This 477-nucleotide ribosomal RNA is filed under the name Triticum aestivum (bread wheat). RNAcentral's name for it is "partial small subunit ribosomal RNA". Lineage: Eukaryota; Viridiplantae; Streptophyta; Magnoliopsida; Poales; Poaceae. The record is from RNAcentral.